UACGUAGGGGGCAAGCGUUAUCCGGAUUUACUGGGUGUAAAGGGAGCGCAGACGGCUUAGCAAGUCUGAUGUGAAAGGCAUGGGCUUAACCCGUGGACUGCAUUGGAAACUGUUGAGCUUGAGUGCCGGAGAGGUAAGCGGAAUUCCUAGUGUAGCGGUGAAAUGCGUAGAUAUUAGGAGGAACACCAGUGGCGAAGGCGGCUUACUGGACGGUAACUGACGUUGAGGCUCGAAAGCGUGGGGAG
RNAcentral lists this ribosomal RNA (245 nucleotides) under uncultured Blautia sp. RNAcentral describes it as "partial 16S ribosomal RNA". It matches the Rfam family "Bacterial small subunit ribosomal RNA", at positions 524 to 768 of the family's 1533-position model. Lineage: Bacteria; Bacillati; Bacillota; Clostridia; Lachnospirales; Lachnospiraceae. The record is from RNAcentral.